This is a long non-coding RNA of Parus major (Great Tit), 3681 nucleotides long. RefSeq lists it as uncharacterized. The record is from RefSeq and is a predicted model, not a curated record. NCBI's taxonomy places the organism in Eukaryota, Metazoa, Chordata, Aves, Passeriformes, Paridae. The transcript has 3 exons.
UCCCCCGCCGCUGCCGGGACAGGCUGCCCGCUCCAGCAGCCGCCGCUCGGGGAGAGCGCCCUCCCGCCCCGCUCCCCUGCCCGCAGCCGCGCGGUGGUCACGCCGGGGGUCCCAUUCGGGAGCGGUGGGUGUCCCGGUGCUGCCCCUCGGCUCCGAGUGACCCUCUAGAGCACCAUUGACGUGACUCACGGCUGUGUUCGUCCUGCCUGAACCGGACUGGCUGAAGGGCAGAAUGCAAGACCUUCCCAGGCGUGAAUUUCUUUCCUCAUGACCAGGGGGAAGUUUCAAAAAACCCCCAGUUCCUGUCUUACAAAGAACUUGAAGAACAGCGGGAAGACGUUGUGUGGAAGGGAAGUAAGAGAGGGAAAUCAAUGGGAGACCUUUACAAAGUUGGACUUUGAUGAAGAUGCUGAGUGGCCAGUCCUGCCUCAGAGUCUCCACUGAUCUGUGGGAGCCUGGGCUGCUCCAUGGAAUGGUCCUGUGCCUCAACACUGAUUUAUCAUCCACCAUGACCACAAGCUCAUGGAUGAGGAAGGAAUACCCAUGGCUGCUACCAUCCCUGCCCCUCUGGCUUCGGAUAAAUCACCAAGCUUGGAGCAUGACCACCCCAGGAAGAAAGAGAAGCAACUGCAUUUCUCUGCUCAACAUAUGGCAAUUUGGUCCUCUCCUCUCCACAGAACAUUGAUCUUCAAGGCCAUACAUGAUACAUGAGUGGGACACAUUCCCUGGAAUUAGCUGUUCCCUCCUUUUUCAUGCUUAAGAGGUAAGAGCUGCACAAACUUCCUCUAUAAUAGUCACCUAACAGAGAGUACAAAGUAUUCUUUGUACUGUCAGCAAAGUAUGAUGAUACCUAGAUUGGUUUUCAGUGUGUUUUUUGUUUUUAUUUUACUGUGAUGUUUUUACAAAAUCCAUAAAUCAUAGGGAUGUGAUAAGAAACAGGUUAUAGUUGCUGGUUAUUCUUGUCCAGAUGCACAGAAAUGCCCUGAUUGUUACUUUCCAACAACAGUCAGCUCGGGCUUAACAUUUUUCAGUUGCACAGCCAGCUUUCAAGGUUACACAUAGAUACUGAAUGAAACAGAGCCCACAAGGUUAUUUUUAGAGAGGCUCUAAACAAGAAGUAAAUCCCUGGAGCAGUGCUGCCAGAGAUGCAUAAAGUUCAAAUCCAAAUUAAAACUGCCUAUCUUUGGCUUAAAUUCCAGUUUGAACUUGAGGAAAACUCUGAUCUAUAACUUGAACUUUAUGACAAAAACUCCUUUGCAAUUAGUUUCUAAUAUCUGAGAACACAUGAACCUGGUAUGAACACUUGAAAAAUAGAACUUGAAUGAAAAAUGUGAACGUUUGUCCAAAAAUGCAGUACCUGUUCUUGUGAGAUAGUGUUGUAUGACUUUAAGUUUCAGUAGCUACACUGGAAUUUAGAGAGUCUAAUUUUUUGUGAUUCUUAGUUUCAACACAGCUUUGUAAGAUCAAGUCCUACAAUGUAAUUGUAAAUUUUGGGGACAGGAUGAGAAACAGAUGCUUAUUUACUGAUUCCUAUAAUAAUGACCUGUGAUGCUCAGGUCUAGGUUUAGUAAUGACCAUGACAGAAAAUGAAGAAAAGAGACCCCUUGUCAGCAGCAUAUUUAUGCAAAGUAGUGCAACUGAAGCAUGUUCUUGAUUUCUUUGCUGAAUCAGAGCCUAUAUCUUCUUCCUGCCAAGGCAGAGAUCUAAUACCACUCCUAAAUGCACUAGUAAUUCUAGAAGCCCUAAUGAAAGUCAAGAUAACACCACAGAUUUUAUAAAUAAGGGUCUUUAUUUAGAAUACUGUCGAAAACAUUCUUGGCAACCACAUCAUAUAAAUAUAUAAAGUUAAACACAACAAACCAAGCAAUAUUAAAUAUUUUAAUUUCUUCCCCUUUUUUGUUUUAGGUUUUGGGUUUUUUUUCUUUUUUUUUAAAUUUAUUAAUUUUUCUCUUUUUUACCAGUUUUUUUUUUUUUUUGGAAAGCAACUCUUAUUUACAAUUAUACAAAAAUUUUAUAAAAAAUGGUCCACAACCUUAUUUUGGCCAGAACAGGAGUAAUAGGAAGGAUCUAUCAUGCCACUACUGCUGUAGAUUUCUAUUUUCCUCCACAUUCAAGAGCCAACUUCCUAUUCCCCACAGCCCAGAUUAAACAUUGGCCGUUUCAUGGUAUACAAUUUUAUCUGUAGACGUAUUAAAUAACUUUAGUUUAACAACCAAUAAAUAACUAUGUGUACUUCAAAGUGAUACAGGUUUGCAAAGUUAUAUAGUUGAAGGAAUUUUCAGUGAUAUUUUAAAACUGGAACAAUAAGUCUUAAGAAGUCUUCUCAACCUUACAAAGCAGGUACUGAGCGAGGCCGAACGGAGCAAAUUGUUUUUGGUGCAGUCCAGCUGGAGGGGUCCUUAUAGCACUUGGUAGAUGGGGUUGCUGCUGCUGUUAUCCUGGGGAAGUGGGGUGCAAUUGGUGGGGGAAGGAAUUUGGGCUCCACUAUCACUCAGACUCACUCCUUCUGGAGGGGAACAGGGACUCCCUUCAGCAACAGUUUCCACUGAAGGUAGUAUGGGGCAUGUGGAAUUAUCUGUGGAAAUCCUCUCUACAAUGCUUGAGAGGCAAUCGAGACUGGAAACAACAGAACUCUUCCCAUGCUUUGCAUCUAAAAAACAGACAAAAAGGCACUCAGAUUAUCAAGUGGAUAGUACAGUUUAGAUUAGAUCAGAUUAUCAGUGGGCAGUACAUAUUUAUGAGCAUGUGAAGACACAGAGGAAAUGAAUAUUGGUGAAGGACACCAAUUAUCAGAAAACAGAUUGUAAUUUCAAAAUGGAAAAGAAGCCCUGCUCUGGGGACAGGGAGGAGCCAAGGCUUCACUGAGUUCAUAGAAAGGGAAGAGCAGAUUUGAAAUCAAUCAUAAAUUACUCCAAUUUGCAUCAAUGAUAGAAUAAGAAGUCUUAAUGUAGAAUAUGGUUAAAUGCUGAAAUUAGUUGCAGAGAAUAACAUACUUCUAUCCAACUGUUAUAUUUUCAAAAUAGGAAAUGCAGCUGUAACGCAUCCCUGUAUUUGCAAAUACACCUAGAGAAAAUCCAGUGCCUCUACCAGCAGCAAUGGCUUGCUGUCUGGAAAGGCAGGUCCUCUCUCAACCCAGCUGGGCAUGGAGCAGGCACAGGAAAGCUGCUGCACUGCCUGCCUCUGUCCGGGUGCCGCUGUUAGGGCACAUACUCACCAUUUGGGGACUCUGUGUAGUAGCUGCUGUCAUAGCUGUUCCUUCUGCGAGAGCUGCAAGGAGGCCCGCUGUACUCCAUCUGGGAAGGAGAGAAAUCCAAGCGAGGUCAGACUCUUACCCAAAUCCCAGAAACCAUCUAAGUUUGUAUUUCAGACUCUGGUCUGUGCUGUCAUUCCAGUCCUGGCUGAAAUGUCAUCAAGUUGUAGAUUCUUUGAGUAAGGAAGAACAUGACUUGGCUAGAAGGGGAUCCACCCCAAAAUAUUUUAUUUGGAACAGCUGUACCACAGGAAAGUUACCACCAUGCCAUUGAAUGCUGCAGCUUUACAGCUAAGAUGAGGGUUUCCAGCAUUCUGAUCAGAUACAGCCCUUCAUGUAUCUUUAGUUUAUAACAGGGAGACUGAAAGGGGAAUUAUGUCUUUUUAAUUUAGGUUUUGAAGAUUUUUCUAAACAUGAAUUCCUCUUUAAAA